UUCCCAUCCCGAACAGGACCGUGAAACGACUUUGCGCCGAUGAUAGUGCUGCAACCAGUGUGAAAGUAGGUUAUCGUCAGGC
Molecule: ribosomal RNA, 82 nt
Filed under: Duganella sp. CF458
Lineage: Bacteria; Pseudomonadati; Pseudomonadota; Betaproteobacteria; Burkholderiales; Oxalobacteraceae
Source: RNAcentral